RNAcentral lists this ribosomal RNA (460 nucleotides) under uncultured bacterium. Its description in RNAcentral is "partial 16S ribosomal RNA". It matches the Rfam family "Bacterial small subunit ribosomal RNA", at positions 338 to 795 of the family's 1533-position model. The record is from RNAcentral.
CCUACGGGUGGCUGCAGUGAGGAAUAUUGGUCAAUGGACGAGAGUCUGAACCAGCCAAGUAGCGUGAAGGAUGACUGCCCUAUGGGUUGUAAACUUCUUUUAUAUGGGAAUAAAAUGCUCCACGUGUGGGAUUUUGUAUGUACCAUAUGAAUAAGGAUCGGCUAACUCCGUGCCAGCAGCCGCGGUAAUACGGAGGAUCCGAGCGUUAUCCGGAUUUAUUGGGUUUAAAGGGGGCGUAGGUGGAUUGUUAAGUGAGUUGUGAAAGGUUGCGGCUAAACCGUAAAAUUGCCGUUGAUACUGGCAGUCUUGAGUACAGUAGAGGUGGGCGGAAUUCGUGGUGUAGCGGUGAAAUGCUUAGAUAUCACGCAGAACACCGAUUGCGAAGGCAGCUCACUAAACUGCAACUGACACUGAGGCUCGAAAGUGUGGGUAGCAAACAGGAUUAGAUACCCGGGUAGUC